RNAcentral lists this ribosomal RNA (407 nucleotides) under uncultured bacterium. Its description in RNAcentral is "partial 16S ribosomal RNA". It matches the Rfam family "Bacterial small subunit ribosomal RNA", at positions 30 to 526 of the family's 1533-position model. The record is from RNAcentral.
AUUGAACGCUGGCGGCAGGCUUAACACAUGCAAGUCGAGCGGAGCGUCGGACGGGUGAGUAAUGCCUAGGAAUCUGCCUGGUAGUGGUGGAUAACGUCCGGCAACGGGCGCUAAUACCUCAUCCUUUCAGAUUCGCCUAGGUCGGAUUAGCUAGUUGGUGGGUUAAAGGCCUACCAUGGCGACGAUCCGUCACUGGUCUGAAAGGAUGAUCAGUCACACGGGAACUGAAACACGGUCCGGACUCCUACGGGAGGCAGCAGUGGGGAAUAUUGGACAAUGGGCGAAAGCCUGAUCCAGCCAUGCCGCGUGUGUGAAGAAGGUCUUCGGAUUGUAAAGCACUUUAAGUUGGAAGGCGUUACCAACAGAGUAAGCACCGGCUAACUUCGUGCCAGCAGCCGCGGUAAUAC